RNAcentral lists this ribosomal RNA (1516 nucleotides) under uncultured bacterium. RNAcentral describes it as "bacterial SSU rRNA". It matches the Rfam family "Bacterial small subunit ribosomal RNA". The record is from RNAcentral.
GAGUUUGAUCCUGGCUCAGGACGAACGCUGGCGGCGUGCUUAACACAUGCAUGUCGAACGGAACUUCCUUUCGGCGGUGCUCCAGUGUUCAACGGCUGACUAACACGUGGGUGAUCUGCCCUGCUCUUUGGGAUAACCCUGUUAAACUGGGUCUAAUACCGAAUACACCCUGCUGGUCGCAUGGCCUGCCGGACGAAAGCUUUUGCGGUGUGCUAUGGGCCCCCGCCCUAUCAACUUGAUGUUGGGCCGAUGGCCUACCACGGCAACCACUUUUAGCCAGCCUGACAGGGUGUCCGGCCACACUGCCUCUGAAAUACCGCCCGUACUCCUACGGUAGGCAUGAAUGUGGAAUAUUGGACAAUGUGCGCACGCCUGAUGCUUCGACCCCGCGGGAGGCAUGACGCCCUUCGGAUUGUAAACCUCUUUCUGCACAGACGAAGCGCAAGUGACGGUAUGUGCAUAAGAAACACCGGCCAACUACUUGCCAGCAGCCGCGAUAAUACGUAUGGUGCGAGCGUUGUCCGGAAUUACUGGGCGAAAAGAGCCCGUAGGUGGUUUGUCACGUUGUUCGUGAAAACCGGGGGCUUAACCCUCGGCGUGCGGGCGAUACGGGCAGACUGGAGUACUGCAGGGGAGACUGGAAUUCCUGGUGUAGCGGUGGAAUGCGCAGAUAUCAGGAGGAACACCGGUGGCGAAGGCGGGUCUCUGGGCAGUAACUGACGCUGAGGAGCGAAAGCGUGGGGAGCGAACAGGAUUAGAUACCCUGGUAGUCCACGCCGUAAACGGUGGGUACUAGGUGUGGGUUUCCUUCCUUGGGAUCCGUGCCGUAGCUAACGCAUUAAGUACCCCGCCUGGGGAGUACGGCCGCAAGGCUAAAACUCAAAGGAAUUGACGGGGGCCCGCACAAGCGGCGGAGCAUGUGGUUUAAUUCGACGCAACGCGAAGAACCUUACCUGGGCUUGACAUGUAGGUGACAGCCGUGGAAACACGGUCUCCCUUCGGGGCACUUACACAGGUGGUGCAUGGCUGUCGUCAGCUCGUGUCGUGAGAUGUUGGGUUAAGUCCCGCAACGAGCGCAACCCUCGUCGCAUGUUGCCAGCAGGUAAAGCUGGGGACUCAUGCGAGACUGCCGGUGACAAACCGGAGGAAGGCGGGGAUGACGUCAAGUCCUCAUGCCCCUUAUGUCCAGGGCUACACACGUGCUACAUUGGCGCAUACAAAGGGCUGCGAUACCGCGAGGUGGAGCGAAUCCCAAAAAGUGCGUCUCGGUUCGGAUUGGAGGCUGAAACUCGCCUCCAUGAAGGCGGAGUUGCUAGUAAUCCCGAAUCAGCAACGUCGGGGUGAAUACGUUCCCGGGCCUUGUACACACCGCCCGUCACACCACGAAAGCGGGCAACACCCGAAGCCGGUGGCCUAACCCUUACGGGAGGGAGCCGUCGAAGGUGGGGCUCGUGAUUGGGGUGAAGUCGUAACAAGGUAGCCGUACCGGAAGGUGCGGCUGGAUCACCUCCUUUCU